AAAAAGAUAAGCUAAAUAAAGCUAAUGGGCUCAUACCCCGGAAAUGAAGGUUUAAUCUUUCUCUUUUUA
This 69-nucleotide transfer RNA is filed under the name Gaetice depressus. RNAcentral's name for it is "tRNA-Met". It matches the Rfam family "tRNA". Rfam says of the family: Transfer RNA (tRNA) molecules are approximately 80 nucleotides in length. Their secondary structure includes four short double-helical elements and three loops (D, anti-codon, and T loops). Further hydrogen bonds mediate the characteristic L-shaped molecular structure. tRNAs have two regions of fundamental functional importance: the anti-codon, which is responsible for specific mRNA codon recognition, and the 3' end, to which the tRNAs corresponding amino acid is attached (by aminoacyl-tRNA synthetases). tRNAs cope with the degeneracy of the genetic code in two manners: having more than one tRNA (with a specific anti-codon) for a particular amino acid; and 'wobble' base-pairing, i.e. permitting non-standard base-pairing at the 3rd anti-codon position. Lineage: Eukaryota; Metazoa; Arthropoda; Malacostraca; Decapoda; Varunidae. The record is from RNAcentral.